This 524-nucleotide long non-coding RNA is filed under the name Fukomys damarensis (Damara mole-rat). Its description in RNAcentral is "lncRNA (ENSFDAG00000030351.1)". Lineage: Eukaryota; Metazoa; Chordata; Mammalia; Rodentia; Bathyergidae. The record is from RNAcentral.
CAAAAUGCUUGUAUCACUCAAGAAAAGUGAGGCAACUUUCCCUCCCUUGCUCAUUUCUUUUCAUGUUGAAAAUAUGACUGAGUAUCAGACUGUCAGAUAUAACUAACUACAAAGCCUGUCAAAGUGCCUGAUGGCCUCAGGAAGUGCUGGUUCUGUGGUUGACCAGAUAUCCACUAUUCUGUGAACUUGAGUCAUAGCCCACUAACAAGACCCACACAGAGCAGGUGCUGUUCGUCAGACAGACGCACAGGGGCUGCAACACAAAAGAAACAGACACCAGAAAACUCCGCCCUCAAGAAGUUCACGUCUAGAGUGGUCGACAGGUGUGCAACGGGGCUGCCGCGGGGAAUUCGGAAGGGAGAGUGUGCCUGAGGGAAUGAGGCCGAGUGUCACAGAGGAGAGGUGCUGCUGCUGGCACUGGAAACACCAGGGUGCUGUUUUCCAGGCUGGGUGGUUUUGGGAGGGGCAGUGGUGCGUGGCUGGAGCCUCAUCUGUGAUGACGGAAGUGAGGUAGUCAGGAGACG